This 1016-nucleotide ribosomal RNA is filed under the name Staphylococcus pseudintermedius. RNAcentral's name for it is "partial 23S ribosomal RNA". It matches the Rfam family "Bacterial large subunit ribosomal RNA", at positions 1463 to 2478 of the family's 2925-position model. Lineage: Bacteria; Bacillati; Bacillota; Bacilli; Caryophanales; Staphylococcaceae. The record is from RNAcentral.
GAUGGGGGGACGCAGUAGGAUAGGCGAAGCGUGCUGUUGGAGUGCACGUCCAAGCAGUGAGAUUGAGUGUUAGGCAAAUCCGGCACUCUUAAGAUUGAGCUGUGAUGGGGAGAGGAACUUGUUCCUCGAGUCGUUGAUUUCACACUGCCGAGAAAAGCCUCUAGCUAGAAUAACGGUGCCCGUACCGCAAACCGACACAGGUAGUCAAGAUGAGAAUUCUAAGGUGAGCGAGCGAACUCUCGUUAAGGAACUCGGCAAAAUGACCCCGUAACUUCGGGAGAAGGGGUGCUCUUUGAGGUUCACGCUUCGAAGAGCCGCAGUGAAUAGGCCCAAGCGACUGUUUAUCAAAAACACAGGUCUCUGCUAAACCGUAAGGUGACGUAUAGGGGCUGACGCCUGCCCGGUGCUGGAAGGUUAAGAGGAGUGGUUAGCGCAAGCGAAGCUACGAAUCGAAGCCCCAGUAAACGGCGGCCGUAACUAUAACGGUCCUAAGGUAGCGAAAUUCCUUGUCGGGUAAGUUCCGACCCGCACGAAAGGCGUAACGAUUUGGGCACUGUCUCAACGAGAGACUCGGUGAAAUCAUAGUACCGGUGAAGAUGCCGGUUACCCGCGACAGGACGGAAAGACCCCGUGGAGCUUUACUGUAGCCUGAUAUUGAAAUUCGGUACAGUUUGUACAGGAUAGGUAGGAGCCUUAGAAGCGUGAGCGCUAGCUUACGUGGAGGCAUUGGUGGGAUACUACCCUAAUUGUAUUGGAUUUCUAACCCGCAGCACUUAUCGUGCUGGGAGACAGUGUCAGGCGGGCAGUUUGACUGGGGCGGUCGCCUCCUAAAGAGUAACGGAGGCGCUCAAAGGUUCCCUCAGAAUGGUUGGAAAUCAUUCAUAGAGUGUAAAGGCAUAAGGGAGCUUGACUGCGAGACCUACAAGUCGAGCAGGGUCGAAAGACGGACUUAGUGAUCCGGUGGUUCCGCAUGGAAGGGCCAUCGCUCAACGGAUAAAAGCUACCCCGGGGAUAAC